RNAcentral lists this long non-coding RNA (259 nucleotides) under Helianthus annuus (common sunflower). Its description in RNAcentral is "hypothetical non coding rna". The record is from RNAcentral. Lineage: Eukaryota; Viridiplantae; Streptophyta; Magnoliopsida; Asterales; Asteraceae.
UGGUCGUGAUUUACACAGGAGCCAAAAAGGGUUUUUAUCAAAACCCUAAAUCACAAGAAAUUCAGCCAAAUCAAGGGAAAUCAAGCUAGGAAAUUGGGGCUUUUAAUAAAUUAGUGAUCACCAAACCUAGGGGAUUACAAGUGUUAUGAUUUUGACGCCUAACAAGCUAGGUGGAAGCUUGUGGAUGAAGCGGGUCAAACGGAGCGCGUACGGAAAGAAAGGCGUGGCAUGGAUGCAAGGUAAGUAUAGCUUACACUAG